AGUCAAACUGCAGCAACGCUGGGCAUGCAGCUCAACAUCCUCUGAGACUCUGUCCUCAUUUUGCGAAAUUAGGGACAACCAGACCUAUCUUCCUGUCCUAUCAUAAGAAUUAAAGAAGACAUGGGAGUAUUCCGUAUACAGAGGAAAGCAGAGGGAGUCUUGAAACAGCAGAAGAGGAGACAGCAAUGCAAUCACAGAAGCAGAGAUUGGAGCAAU
RNAcentral lists this long non-coding RNA (216 nucleotides) under Homo sapiens (human). RNAcentral describes it as "non-protein coding lnc-NDFIP2-7:11". The record is from RNAcentral. Lineage: Eukaryota; Metazoa; Chordata; Mammalia; Primates; Hominidae.